Molecule: ribosomal RNA, 253 nt
Filed under: uncultured bacterium
Lineage: Bacteria
Also listed under: 1 other name
Description: partial 16S ribosomal RNA
Rfam family: Bacterial small subunit ribosomal RNA
Source: RNAcentral
UACGAAGGGGGCUAGCGUUGCUCGGAAUGACUGGGCGUAAAGGGCGCGUAGGCGGAUGGCACAGUCAGAUGUGAAAUUCCCGGGCUUAACCUGGGGGCUGCAUUUGAUACGUGUGAUCUGGAGUGAGGAAGAGGGUCGUGGAAUUCCCAGUGUAGAGGUGAAAUUCGUAGAUAUUGGGAAGAACACCGGUGGCGAAGGCGGCGACCUGGUCCUUGACUGACGCUGAGGCGCGAAAGCGUGGGGAGCAAACAGG